GGCCUAAUACAUGCAGUCGAACGGUAACAUUGGUGCUUGCACCAGAUGACGAGUGGCGCACGGGUGCGUAACGCGUAUGCAAUCUACCUUUUACUAGAGUAUAGCCCAGAGAAAUUUGGAUUAAUCCUCUAUAAUAUCUUUUAAUUUCAUGAUUUUAAGAUUAAAGUUUUAACGGUAAAAGAUGAGCAUGCGUCCUAUUAGUUUGUAGGUGAGGUAACGGCUCACCUAGACUACGAUAGGUAGGGGCCCUGAGAGGGGGAUCCCCCACACUGGUACUGAGACACGGACCAGACUCCUACGGGAGGCAGCAGUAAGGAAUAUUGGACAAUGGACGAAAGUCUGAUCCAGCCAUGCCGCGUGCAGGAUGAAAGCCCUACGGGUUGUAAACUGCUUUUAUACAGGAAGAAACACUCCGACGUGUCGGAGCUUGACGGUACUGUAAGAAUAAGGAUCGG
Molecule: ribosomal RNA, 455 nt
Filed under: uncultured Bacteroidota bacterium
Lineage: Bacteria; Pseudomonadati; Bacteroidota
Description: bacterial SSU rRNA
Rfam family: Bacterial small subunit ribosomal RNA
Source: RNAcentral